UCCCGAGUAGCUCAGUUGGUAGAGCGGGUGGCUGUUAACCACCGGGUCGGGGGUUCGAGUCCCUCCUCGGGAG
Molecule: transfer RNA, 73 nt
Filed under: Gemmatimonadota bacterium
Lineage: Bacteria; Pseudomonadati; Gemmatimonadota
Also listed under: 2 other names
Description: Gemmatimonadetes bacterium tRNA-Asn
Rfam family: tRNA
About the family: Transfer RNA (tRNA) molecules are approximately 80 nucleotides in length. Their secondary structure includes four short double-helical elements and three loops (D, anti-codon, and T loops).
Source: RNAcentral